UUCCUGAUGGUCCAGUGGUUAAGCCUCCACAUUCCCAAUGCAGGAGGCCCAGGUUCAAUCCCUGGUCAGGGAA
Molecule: non-coding RNA, 73 nt
Organism: Bos taurus (domestic cattle)
Lineage: Eukaryota; Metazoa; Chordata; Mammalia; Artiodactyla; Bovidae
Source: Rfam